AGUCCCUGCAGCUUGCUGCUGGCCUCCACGCUUUCGGGUUUGCGUUCCAGAAGCUGGAACACAACACAGAACUUAUUACCUGCUCCGUCCUGCUGCCACUUCCGGGUGCCGUUAGCCGAGAGCAGUGUGUGCGGCUGCUGGGCUCGAGCUGUGUGUUAGUGGAAACGAUGUGACAGGCACACCUGUUUCCACUGCCAUUUGCUGUGUAUUGCCGGACAGAGCUGCCAGGGUGGUCAGAGGUGAAGCUGCUUAAUCACCAGCGUAAGACAGUGUGCUGGGAGAUGAGGAUUGUCUGAAGAUGGAAGACGAUCUGAUUGGAUAGUAUGGGGGCAGGUGGAAGGUGUACUGUGCCUUGCUGAACACUGUCUGCAAGUUAAGCAGGAAAGGUCCCAUCCAGGAAGGUAUCUUGUCUUGAAUGGCGCGGAUGGCAGCCGAAGUCGACCGACACACACACCGCUUGGUGUAUAAAACUAAAGGCACCAUAACUAUGGACUGUGAUGGAUACUUUUUGUAAAACAGCAACAGAUAUCACAUGUUACCCGGGUGGAUACUAAGGACUUUGUUCCGGAUGAGCAUAAGCUUUGCUUUGCGAGGCAUAUUAAUCAUGUUGUUGCCAUAUGAUGUGUAAAAGCCAUGCAAUGUUCAGUGUAACUUAUAUGUGAAAAGAAUCUGUAUUGCUGAGAUAAUAUUGAAAUUUAUGUGAGUCAAUGAAUAAGCCCUCUGCAAUGAAGGAGAGGUGAUGUGAUUAAAGAGUUUUAAGAAUA
This is a long non-coding RNA of Pseudophryne corroboree (corroboree frog), 764 nucleotides long. RefSeq lists it as uncharacterized. The transcript has 3 exons. The record is from RefSeq and is a predicted model, not a curated record. Lineage: Eukaryota; Metazoa; Chordata; Amphibia; Anura; Myobatrachidae.